AACGAACGCUGGCGGCAGGCCUAACACAUGCAAGUCGAGCGCGCCCUUCGGGGUGAGCGGCGGACGGGUGAGUAACGCGUGGGAACGUGCCCUUUUCUACGGAAUAGCCUCGGGAAACUGAGAGUAAUACCGUAUACGCCCUUUGGGGGAAAGAUUUAUCGGAAAAGGAUCGGCCCGCGUUGGAUUAGGUAGUUGGUGAGGUAAUGGCCUACCAAGCCGACGAUCCAUAGCUGGUUUGAGAGGAUGAUCAGCCACACUGGGACUGAGACACGGCCCAGACUCCUACGGGAGGCAGCAGUGGGGAAUCUUAGACAAUGGGGGCAACCCUGAUCUAGCCAUGCCGCGUGAGUGAUGAAGGCCUUAGGGUUGUAAAGCUCUUUCAGCUGGGAAGAUAAUGACGGUACCAGCAGAAGAAGCCCCGGCUAACUCCGUG
This 433-nucleotide ribosomal RNA is filed under the name uncultured bacterium. RNAcentral describes it as "partial 16S ribosomal RNA". It matches the Rfam family "Bacterial small subunit ribosomal RNA", at positions 29 to 507 of the family's 1533-position model. The record is from RNAcentral.